This is a long non-coding RNA of Arvicanthis niloticus (Nile rat), 486 nucleotides long. RefSeq lists it as uncharacterized. The record is from RefSeq and is a predicted model, not a curated record. Lineage: Eukaryota; Metazoa; Chordata; Mammalia; Rodentia; Muridae.
UAGAAUCAGUUGUGUACAAAAUAAGAGACCCGCUGAAUCAGAGACAAACCUGUGGCACUGGGCACUGGGAGGGAGAGGUCGAUUGUGUGAGCUGGAGAAGAGACAUUGAGAAAGUGGAGAAGGACUAAGAGGGGCCAGGCCUGGUCCUGACUUCCCGGAGCACAUCUAAGCAGCUUUCUGAAUCUUCACUGCUGGUUCACUUCCAUUUAAUCUGAAGACCUGGAGAAGAAAUACCGGAAGUGCAACAAAGUCAUAUGAAGUAUGAGGGAUCCAGCCUAGGAAUGCAAAAUCAUCUGAUGACAUCCAUUGCAGAAUGCCUCUGUUACAAAGACAGGGAGAUGAGCCCUGGAGUUGACGAUGUGAUGCAUGGUUCAAGGCCAAAGAAUCUAGCAGCGAUCCUUUCUGGACCCUCAGUGAGGGCUGAAUUUUGACACCACAAGAGAUAGUAUGUAGAAUUAAAAGUGGUCUAAAGAUGUUCUGGGCUCU